Molecule: unclassified non-coding RNA, 152 nt
Filed under: uncultured Hypoxylon
Lineage: Eukaryota; Fungi; Ascomycota; Sordariomycetes; Xylariales; Xylariaceae
Description: sequence contains ITS2
Source: RNAcentral
CGACCCUUAAGCCCUUGUUGCUUAGCGUUGGGAAUCUACGGCGUAGUUCCUCAAAGUUAGUGGCGGAGUUAGGGUACACUCUCAGCGUAGUAAUCUCUCUCGCUCGUGUGGUGGCCCUGGCUGCUAGCCGUUAAACCCCUAUAUUUUCUAGU